AUUGAACGCUGGCGGCAGGCCUAACACAUGCAAGUCGAACGAGUGGCGGACGGGUGAGUAAUGUCGGGGAAACUGCCUGAUGGAGGGGGAUAACUACUGGCAACGGUAACUAAUACCGCAUACCAUCGGAUGAGCCCAGAUGGGAUUAGCUAGUUGGUGGGGUAAAGGCUCACCUAGGAGAUGCUCCCUAGCUGGUCUGAGAGGAUGACCAGCGACACUGGAACUGAGACACGGUCCAGACUCCUACGGGAGGAAGCAGUGGGGAAUAUUGCACAAUGGGCGCAAGCCUGAUGCAGCCAUGCCGCGUGUAUGAAGAAGGCCUUCGGGUUUUAAAGUACUUUCAGCUGGGAGGCGUUACCCACAGAAGAAGCACCGGCUAACUCCGUGCCAGCAGCCGCGGUAAUUC
This 406-nucleotide ribosomal RNA is filed under the name uncultured bacterium. RNAcentral describes it as "partial 16S ribosomal RNA". It matches the Rfam family "Bacterial small subunit ribosomal RNA", at positions 30 to 526 of the family's 1533-position model. The record is from RNAcentral.